RNAcentral lists this ribosomal RNA (460 nucleotides) under uncultured bacterium. RNAcentral describes it as "partial 16S ribosomal RNA". It matches the Rfam family "Bacterial small subunit ribosomal RNA", at positions 338 to 795 of the family's 1533-position model. The record is from RNAcentral.
CCUACGGGAGGCUGCAGUGAGGAAUAUUGGUCAAUGGGCGCGAGCCUGAACCAGCCAAGUAGCGUGAAGGAUGACUGCCCUACGGGUUGUAAACUUCUUUUCUAAAGGAAUAAAGUGAGGCACGUGUGCCUUUUUGUAUGUACUUUAUGAAUAAGGAUCGGCUAACUCCGUGCCAGCAGCCGCGGUAAUAAGGAGGAUCCGAACGUUAUUCGGAUUUAUUGGGUUUAAUGGGGGAGUAGGUGGGUUGUGAAGUGAGUUGUGAAAGUUUGCGGGUCAACCCGAAAACUGCAAUUGAAACUGGCAGUCUUGAGUACAGUUGAGGUAGGCGGAAUGCGUGGUGUAGCGGUGAAAUGCUUAGAUAUCACGCAGAACUCCGAUUGUGAAGGCAGCUUACUAACCUGCCACUGACAUUGAUGCACGAAAGUGUGGGUAUCAAACAGGAUUAGAUACCCUUGUAGUC